UACAGAGGUCUCAAGCGUUGUUCGGAUUCAUUGGGCGUAACGGGUGCGUAGGUGGCGCUGUAAGUCGGGUGUGAAAUUUCGGAGCUUAACUCCGAAACUGCAUUCGAUACUGCGGUGCUUGAGGACUGGAGAGGAGACUGGAAUUCAUGGUGUAGCAGUGAAAUGCGUAGAGAUCAUGAGGAAGACCAGUGGCGAAGGCGGGUCUCUGGACAGUUCCUGACACUGAGGCACGAAGGCCAGGGGAGCAAACGGG
This 253-nucleotide ribosomal RNA is filed under the name uncultured bacterium. RNAcentral's name for it is "partial 16S ribosomal RNA". It matches the Rfam family "Bacterial small subunit ribosomal RNA", at positions 524 to 776 of the family's 1533-position model. The record is from RNAcentral.